GCCUCUGAUUGUGACAGACAUAUUCAUAUGAUCAAACUAACAAGGAAUUAAACACACACAUGAACUAUAAUAGUGAUAUGGAACAUCUAGAGAAAGAGAGGGACAGUGCAACAAGAUAUGCAUUGUAUGCAUCACAGAAGUUGCAGUUUCUGAAAAAAAUACUUCACAAGUACUUGAAGAGAGAGACAAAAAUAUUACACUUCCUAAGAUAUCACAUCAUAAAGAAGCAUCAGCUGCUGAU
Molecule: long non-coding RNA, 241 nt
Organism: Schistocerca gregaria
Lineage: Eukaryota; Metazoa; Arthropoda; Insecta; Orthoptera; Acrididae
Exons: 3
Source: RefSeq, a predicted model, not a curated record